Molecule: ribosomal RNA, 1299 nt
Filed under: metagenome
Description: bacterial SSU rRNA
Rfam family: Bacterial small subunit ribosomal RNA
Source: RNAcentral
CUUCAUGGUUUGUGGUUGAAAGUUCUGGCGGUUGGGGAUGGGCUCGCGGCCUAUCAGCUUGUUGGUGGGGUAAUGGCCUACCAAGGCUUCGACGGGUAGCCGGCCUGAGAGGGCGACCGGCCACACUGGGACUGAGACACGGCCCAGACCCCUACGGGAGGCAGCAGUGGGGAAUAUUGCGCAAUGGACGAAAGUCUGACGCAGCAACGCCGCGUGAGGGAUGACGGCCUUCGGGUUGUAAACCUCUUUCAGCAGGGACGAAGCGAGAGUGACGGUACCUGCAGAAGAAGGACCGGCCAACUACGUGCCAGCAGCCGCGGUAAUACGUAGGGUCCGAGCGUUGUCCGGAAUUAUUGGGCGUAAAGGGCUCGUAGGCGGUUCGUCACGUCGGGAGUGAAAACUCGGAGCUUAACUCCGAGCCUGCUUCCGAUACGGGCAGACUAGAGGUAGGCAGGGGAGAGCGGAACUCCUGGUGUAGCGGUGGAAUGCGCAGAUAUCAGGAAGAACACCGGUGGCGAAGGCGGCUCUCUGGGCCUUACCUGACGCUGAGGAGCGAAAGCGUGGGUAGCGAACAGGAUUAGAUACCCUGGUAGUCCACGCCGUAAACGUUGGGCGCUAGGUGUGGGGGACAUUCCACGUCCUCCGUGCCGCAGCUAACGCAUUAAGCGCCCCGCCUGGGGAGUACGGCCGCAAGGCUAAAACUCAAAGGAAUUGACGGGGGCCCGCACAAGCGGCGGAGCAUGCGGAUUAAUUCGAUGCAACGCGAAGAACCUUACCUGGGUUUGACAUAUAGGGAAAUCUCGCAGAGAUGCGGGGUCCGUAAGGGUCCUAUACAGGUGGUGCAUGGCUGUCGUCAGCUCGUGUCGUGAGAUGUUGGGUUAAGUCCCGCAACGAGCGCAACCCUCGUCCUAUGUUGCCAGCACGUUAUGGUGGGGACUCAUAGGAGACUGCCGGGGUCAACUCGGAGGAAGGUGGGGAUGACGUCAAGUCAUCAUGCCCCUUAUGUCCAGGGCUUCACGCAUGCUACAAUGGCCGGUACAAAGGGCUGCGAAACUGCAAAGUGGAGCGAAUCCCAAAAAGCCGGUCUCAGUUCGGAUUGGGGUCUGCAACUCGACCCCAUGAAGUCGGAGUCGCUAGUAAUCGCAGAUCAGCAACGCUGCGGUGAAUACGUUCCCGGGCCUUGUACACACCGCCCGUCACGUCAUGAAAGUCGGCAACACCCGAAGCCGGUGGCCUAACCCUUGUGGAGGGAGCCGUCGAAGGUGGGGCUGGCGAUUAGGACGAAGUCGUAACAAGGUA